CCUACGGGGGGCAGCAGUGAGGAAUAUUGGUCAAUGGACGCAAGUCUGAACCAGCCAUGCCGCGUGCAGGAAGACGGCUCUAUGAGUUGUAAACUGCUUUUGUACGAGGGUAAACGCAGAUACGCGUAUCUGUCUGAAAGUAUCGUACGAAUAAGGAUCGGCUAACUCCGUGCCAGCAGCCGCGGUAAUACGGAGGAUUCAAGCGUUAUCCGGAUUUAUUGGGUUUAAAGGGUGCGUAGGCGGUCGGAUAAGUUAGAGGUGAAAUCCCGUGGCUCAACUUCGGAAUUGCCUUUGAUACUGUUAGGCUAGAGAGUAGUUGAGGUAGGCGGAAUGUAUGGUGUAGCGGUGAAAUGCUUAGAGAUCAUGCAGAACACCGAUUGCGAAGGCAGCUUACCAAGCUACGUCUGACGUUGAGGCACGAAAGCGUGGGGAGCAAACAGGAUUAGAUACCCCGGUAGUC
RNAcentral lists this ribosomal RNA (460 nucleotides) under uncultured bacterium. Its description in RNAcentral is "partial 16S ribosomal RNA". It matches the Rfam family "Bacterial small subunit ribosomal RNA", at positions 338 to 795 of the family's 1533-position model. The record is from RNAcentral.